Molecule: ribosomal RNA, 1217 nt
Filed under: metagenome
Description: bacterial SSU rRNA
Rfam family: Bacterial small subunit ribosomal RNA
Source: RNAcentral
GAUGGUCAGCCACACUGGGACUGAGACACUGCCCAGACUCCUACGGGAGGCUGCAGUCGAGGAUCAUUCGCAAUGCGCGAAAGCGUGACGAUGCGACGCCGCGUGCAGGAUGAAGGCCUUCGGGUCGUAAACUGCUGUCAUGAGGGAGAAACGGUCCGAGUGUUAAUAACACUUGGGAUUGAUAGUACCUCAAGAGGAAGCCACGGCUAACUCUGUGCCAGCAGCCGCGGUAAUACAGAGGUGGCAAGCGUUGUUCGGAUUUACUGGGCGUAAAGGGUGCGUAGGCGGUUCUGCAUGUCGGAUGUGAAAUUCCAUCGCUCAACGAUGGAACGGCAUUCGAAACUGCAGUGCUGGAGUACAGGAGAGGAGAGCGGAAUUCCAGGUGUAGCGGUGAAAUGCGUAGAUAUCUGGAGGAACACCGGUGGCGAAGGCGGCUCUCUGGACUGAUACUGACGCUGAGGCACGAAAGCUGGGGGAGCAAACAGGAUUAGAUACCCUGGUAGUCCCAGCCCUAAACGGUGUGCACUUGGUGUGGGGAGGAUUGACCCUCUCCGCGCCGGAGCUAACGCGUUAAGUGCACCGCCUGGGGAGUACGGCCGCAAGGCUAAAACUCAAAGGAAUUGACGGGGGCCCGCACAAGCGGUGGAGCAUGUGGCUCAAUUCGAUGCAACGCGAAGAACCUUACCAGGGCUUGACAUGUAGGUGCACGCCCCCUGAAAGGGGGGAAGCCUUCGAGGGUCCUACACAGGUGCUGCAUGGCUGUCGUCAGCUCGUGCCGUGAGGUGUUAGGUUAAGUCCUGCAACGAGCGCAACCCUUGUGAUUAGUUGCCACCUUCAAGGAAACGCGAAGAGCACUCUAAUCAGACUGCCGGUGAAAAGCCGGAGGAAGGUGGGGAUGACGUCAAGUCAGUAUGGUCCUUAUGCCCUGGGCUGCACACGUGCUACAAUGGUCGGUACAAAAGGACGCAAAACCGCGAGGUGGAGCAAAUCCCCAAAACCGGCCCCAGUUCGGAUUGAAGUCUGCAAUUCGACUUCAUGAAGCUGGAAUCGCUAGUAAUGGCGCAUCAGCUACGGCGCCGUGAAUACGUUCCCGGGCCUUGUACACACCGCCCGUCACAUCAUGAAAGUCGACUGCACCCGAAGUCAUCCGUGUAACCUGCAAAGGAACAAGAUGCCGAAGGUGUGGUUGAUGAUUGGGAUGAAGUCGAAACAAGGUA